This 42-nucleotide ribosomal RNA is filed under the name Philaenus loukasi. Its description in RNAcentral is "partial 28S ribosomal RNA". The record is from RNAcentral. Lineage: Eukaryota; Metazoa; Arthropoda; Insecta; Hemiptera; Aphrophoridae.
CGACCUCAGAUCAGGGGGGACUACCCGCUGAAUUUAAGCAUA